This 239-nucleotide long non-coding RNA is filed under the name Elaeis guineensis (African oil palm). RNAcentral describes it as "long non-coding RNA (EGUI_LNC069208)". The record is from RNAcentral. Lineage: Eukaryota; Viridiplantae; Streptophyta; Magnoliopsida; Arecales; Arecaceae.
GUAGUACCACACCUGAGCUCAUAAUCUCUAUCUUGGUGCUCCCAAGUCCUUGUGAACUCAGCUUUAUCCCACAGAUCCAUCCAUGCCAUACACAUCUAAAAAUUCUCAGAGAAGUACCUUCGUGAGUGCAUCCGACUGGUUCUUCUUGAUAUGGACCUUCACCAGCUCCACUUCACCUUCUUCCACUAGCUUCCUGAUCCUGUGGUAUCGCACGUCUAUAUACUUUGUCCUAGCAUGGU